This 497-nucleotide ribosomal RNA is filed under the name uncultured bacterium. RNAcentral's name for it is "partial 16S ribosomal RNA". It matches the Rfam family "Bacterial small subunit ribosomal RNA", at positions 28 to 507 of the family's 1533-position model. The record is from RNAcentral.
GAUGAACGCUGGCGGCGUGCCUAAUACAUGCAAGUCGAGCGAACGGACGAGAAGCUUGCUUCUCUGAUGUUAGCGGCGGACGGGUGAGUAACACGUGGAUAACCUACCUAUAAGACUGGGAUAACUUCGGGAAACCGGAGCUAAUACCGGAUAAUAUUUUGAACCGCAUGGUUCAAAAGUGAAAGACGGUCUUGCUGUCACUUAUAGAUGGAUCCGCGCUGCAUUAGCUAGUUGGUAAGGUAACGGCUUACCAAGGCAACGAUGCAUAGCCGACCUGAGAGGGUGAUCGGCCACACUGGAGCUGAGACACGGUCCAGACUCCUACGGGAGGCAGCAGUAGGGAAUCUUCCGCAAAGGGCGAGAGCCUGACGGAGCAACGCCGCGUGAGUGAUGAAGAUCUUCGGAUCGUAAAACUCUGUUAUUAGGGAAGAACAUAUGUGUAAGUAACUGUGCACAGCUUGACGGUACCUAAUCAGAAAGCCACGGCUAACUACGUG